AUACUGCGGGUUGUAAAAUCUCUGCAGGCAACUGUGGAAAGGUGACCUUGUCACACAUUGGCCUGAAGGGAUUAUACAAACUGUAGCAG
This 89-nucleotide microRNA precursor is filed under the name Petromyzon marinus (sea lamprey). Its description in RNAcentral is "microRNA pma-mir-216b precursor". Its record names the gene pma-mir-216b. The stretch from base 8 to 82 matches the Rfam family "mir-216 microRNA precursor family". The record is from miRBase by way of RNAcentral. Lineage: Eukaryota; Metazoa; Chordata; Hyperoartia; Petromyzontiformes; Petromyzontidae.